Cercophora newfieldiana is the source of this 115-nucleotide non-coding RNA. Lineage: Eukaryota; Fungi; Ascomycota; Sordariomycetes; Sordariales; Lasiosphaeriaceae. The record is from the annotation of a GenBank genome assembly.
GGCAACUUGGCCGAGCGGUUAAGGCGGUAGACUCAAGAAUUAGCAUUCUUUGCCCUAUUAAAGGGGUUACAUUCUACUCACGAAAGUGGCGUGAGUUCGAAUCUCACAGUUGUCA